This 4503-nucleotide long non-coding RNA is filed under the name Xyrichtys novacula (pearly razorfish). Lineage: Eukaryota; Metazoa; Chordata; Actinopteri; Labriformes; Labridae. The record is from RNAcentral.
GGUUUGAAUAUGUGCAACUUUAUGCGAGUAUCUUUAAUUGUGGAAAGGAUGUUUGUCUUACCAGUGGGUCCAACAUUACACACACCAAAUCCAUCUGUGCUUAUAUGAGAGAGUGUGGAGGACGCCCUCUGCAGCGCUUACAGAGACACUUGUUGAGGAGCUGCCUUCUGUCACCAUCAUGUUGCAUUACUGUCUUCAGACAUCUCUUGAUCUCUUUGACUACUUCAUGAAAAUUGUAAUACGCCUCGCCGGUGGCGGAUUUAAAGGCAAGGAGAGGAGCUGAUUUUAUUGGUCAAUACAGGGAACGGCUGUGUUAAACCUGGUCCACGCCCUCUCUCCUCCCUCGCUACGACUUACGCCGCUGGGAGGAGCUGAGUUAGGGAGGGGGGAUACUUACGCCAGGCUGCGCCGCUCACCAAAAUACCAAAUUGUGCUUGGGAACGCCUUGUCGGUGUGACGGACCUGACUUAUGCAGAAUUUCAAUCAAAGGCUCCAGUCAUAUCUGAUGAACCAAACUCAUACCUGACAGCAACUGUCCGUUCUCCUUCCAUUAUAGGGAUUUGGCCAAACAAAAGUAUGCUUUGGAAUAUGUAUAGCCUACAGUAGCACAUUUCCAUGGUUGCUAGACACCCCUAUGGACACACUCGCACACACUCUUCCUUGAUUUUAUACUUUUGUUGUGGUUUUCCAUGUCUUGUUUGUAUGAGGUGAGAUUUCCUUUAUAAACCCCUCCAGGUUUCUUUAAUCUUGCCUGCACAUCUGUUUUGUUGUAUUUAUGCUGUUUUUCCUGCCUGUAUAAUUGUGCAAAUCAAUUAAUUAAAAAAAUUAAAAAAUUGUUUAGCCUAAUGUGAUCAUGUUUUCUCAGUUCAUGACACAGUAGCAAGCACUCUGCAGCAUCUUCGUAUCUUGAAAUUAACGUGAACAAGACAAAGAAAAUAAUAUUGCAUAAGACUUGCUAAAUAAACAAAGCUUCAAUUUGAAACAACCCAGCUUUUGUUACACGAAAAUCUGAUAUUUAUAACUUAACGGUUUGUUCAUGCCUGUCCUCUCUUCACUCUUUCUUACCUGUGAAAAUGUGUUAAAGGUGAACUUCAACCUUUCCUUUGUCGGUAAAAACAGGGUACACCGUUUGAACAACAAACCUGAGGUGUCAGACAAUAAGCAGGUUAUUAUCAAAUGUACGUGUUUUUCUGUAAUAUCUCUCAACCCAACUGAACAUCUUGUUUCUGGAACUUUGUGAUAUCAGUUCAAUAUAAUGUUCAAGCUACCACUGCUAUAGAUCAUCAGGCUGAUAGUCAUGAUCUAACCCUGUGCUUAAGUACUGGGACAACAAUUUAACAAAUGAAACGCAUCAUAAAAUAUGAGCUGCCACUUACCCAGGUCUCUGUAAUGUGUAACAGUGGAUUUCCGCUCAAGGCUGGUGGAGGAGUUAAAGUUCUGAAUGAGCUUUUUCUUUUUCUAGACCACAGUGGAGAUGUAGUCCACAACAUGUCCUGUCAUAUCUUUGGAAAUUAUGCUCAACACGCUGAUCUCCACCACUGAGAAACAAACAUUUUCACAAUAACUUUGUGGAUAUAAUUCUUUGACACAAAUGCUGAGAAAAAAUACACUGCUUGAUUUCUGGAACAGCAGUGUUUAUCAUUUUAAAACUGUAAUAAACUGUGUGACUGUACUGAUGAAUAAACGUCCAGUUUACUAAAAUAUCAAUUGUAUAGUGAAACCUACAAAAAGUACACAGCCCAAAAUGUCAGGACUUUUAUCAGACCCCAUCCUUACUUAUUUAUUCUUACUUCAGGGUUGACUAUUCCAGCUCGUGACCUACCUGACAGAUUAUCCAGGAUCAUGUCAAACACCUGUGAUGGGAGCCGGUGAAAAAAGGUGCAGGUGCUGCACUGGCUCUGGGGUUCAGUCCGCUGGAGACGUCGGGACUUCAGCGAAGAAACUGGCACGUUCCUCGCCCUCCUCUGCGUUCCACUGAAAAGCCCGCAGCCACUGAGAGGACAAAACUUAUUAUCAAGUUACAGGAACUUUCGGAGCGAACUAUAGGCUAAACUUGCCAAAAUAACUUUGAAUUGAACUCCUUAUUGGUUCAAACCUGACGUUAUCCGCCUUUAUGUUCAAAUAUACAUUCACUCCCAUUUAGAAAUGAAGAAUAUGGGCAAACCUGAAAACCCCUGUAUUUCUCCUGGAAAAGUUUCAGUGCAGAAAUGACUGUCAGCUCUUUCUGUUAGCUAGCUUUCUUUAAGGCUCCUGUCAUACGAUGGCGCGAAAUCAACAGAUAACCAAACUCACCGCAGUCCCCUUUGUAUCGCGUUUUUAAAGCGUUUUUGCACGUUUUGUAAAAGACAGUGUCAGAGAAACUGAUCAGGGUCAGACUGAUAUUUAUAAAGCGUGAUUGCUCAGGAAAAAAUCAAUAUGGAGAGUUACAGAUGUAGGCCUAAGCGGUACCUUUUAAAGUCUAAGUGGUUUAGAUUACACCAGGCCCCAUUGAAAGUCCAACUGGUCCACAGUAUUGUGACUGUGUGAAUGCUACAGUUAGGGAAAGUACGGAUAAAUGGGAUUAUUUAUUAGUACUGUAAACAUGUCUGGCAGUUAAGAUUCCAGGCUAAAACAUCCCUUUGCUCAGCCCUCACUUCAGUUAUUGGAAGACAACUACCUAUGGGGCAUGAUAAAUAAGAUAGAGAGACUGAUAGAGGGAGAUGAAGAAAGAGAGAGAUGGACAGACGAGAGACUGAUGCCUGUUUUGAAGCAGCUGUAAAGCAGACAGGUCCACAGCAGUAACACAUCUGCAGCAGCGAUCCAGAUGAACUAAAAGCAUGAUGGAGCCCAGGGACUCCUAGUAAAGACUGUGUAUCAGUGACUCUAAUGGUACAUGAGAAUUCAGAGUUAAUGACACAGACACAAAGAGGAUGAAAAAGGAGGGAAAGGUGCUCUACCCUGGCAGCCCAAAUCUGAUAUCUGUAGCGGUAUAACUACCUGAAGACCUGAAGCAGCUCCAACUAUCAGCUUUAUGAAAGAGGAACGUUUUAAGCCUACUUUUAAAGGUAGAGAGGGUGUCUGUCCCCCAUAUACUUAUAUCUUUACUGUAAUAUUAAUUGGACCAAAUAGUUUUCCCAGUGUUAAAUUAAGGCUACACAGGACUCUUGUGUGAAGGAGGAGGGGAUGGGCAAUGGUUGGUUCAGAGUGUAACCUAUGCAGUGUCACUAAGUGGUUCACAUGUUUGGGUUUUGGUCUUUAGUAUCACAUAGUUCCCGGUUUGAACCUGUGGGACUGUACAGGACCAUAAAAAUUAAGCUGCUAAGAGUGUGUAUUUUGGGAAAAGUUCUUUUAAACACCAUUUACAUUUUUCCUGAAAAAUGUAAAUGGUGUUUAAAAGAAGACUUCUGAAAGACAUCUAAUGACAAACAUGUACAACAUACUGAAUCAUGAUUACAGCACAGUACUCAACAAGCCUGCACUCAGCCGUUAAUCACAGGAUUAUUCUGCUUAAGUAAGGCUAUUAGGGGUUACACAUUCAAGUAGCGUCUCCCACAGGCAGACCUUGGAGAGGAUCAGCUCCUCACCAUAGAGCUCAUACACAGAGAACACAUAAGGGACUCAGAGGAAGGGCCGUGCCCACCAGCAGAAUAUCAUGGUAGGUCACAUUUGGGACACAAGGAGAGGGGGACUGCAAGGGAAGAAGACUUGCCUCAAAGGAACCUUCAGACCAUCAGGUCUACAGCAAAGUAAGUACCACACCAACAGUACCAGGCUCAAAAAGAAUCCCUUUCCUACCAAGUCAUAACUCUGCUGAUGAAUUUUCAAUGCUGCCUACAAACAUCUGUUUUGUCAACAAGUUGCUCAAAGUUAAGAAUAGUUUUAAGGUCUAUCAUCUGUUAUUGAUCAACAGAUGCUGAGACAGAAAGAGCUGAGUUAUUGACAUGAAUAGAGCACAGCCAGUGAGAACAGCAUCUCUUCUGCCAGUCUCCGUUUUUUUUCCUGCAUUUCUCUGCCUCGGGGUCCAUGUUUGGAUCUGAUUAUCCCUCUGAAAAAAACAGCCAGCGACGGGACUUUCUCUCAUGUUAUCCCUGACAUGAUGACAGGGGUAGUGACAGUGCUGAAGAUGAUCCCUUACACUAACCAAUAAAAAGUCUCACUGUCCUGCAGCAUGUCGCUUGUCUGUGAAGGCAGCAGCAGUAGAAACCAGAGGAGUUGGUCAUCUUGCAGCAAAAACUACAGCCAGACGUUCUUCAUCUAACACCUGUGAUCUGACCGAUGACCAUGACCAAGCAGUCCUUAUGUAACCAUUUCAGUGAGUAUUUUAUGGAACAAGCUACCCCUCCAAAUUAGAGAAGCCCCCACACUGUCCAUUUUUAAAACUCGUCUUAAAACCCAUUUUUAUUCAUUGGCUUUUAACCCUGCAUGAGACUGGGCUCCUGUUUUAGUGUUUUAUGGUUUGUUUUUAGUUAUUUGUUUCUAUGUUUUUAAAUUAGUUUUUAAAAACAUUGAAGCUAUAUUUUAUUA